GAUGAACGCUGGCGGCGUGCUUAACACAUGCAAGUCGAACGGAAAGGCCCUGCUUUUGUGGGGUUCUCGAGUGGCGAACGGGUGAGUAACACGUGAGUAUCCUGCCCUUUACUUUCGGAUAUCUUCAGGAAACUGGGGCUAAUACCGGAUAUGAGCUCCUGCUGCAGGUGGUGGGUUGGAAAGUUUCGGCGUUUGGGGAUGGACUCGCGGCUUAUGAGCUUGUUGGUGGGGUAGUGGCUUACCAAGGCUUUGACGGGUAGCCGGCAUGAGAGGGUUGCCGGCCACAUUGGGACUGAGAUACGGCCCAGACUGCUACGGGAGGCAGCAGUGGGGAAUAUUGCACAAUGGGCGGAAGCCUGAUGAAGCAACGCCGCGUGCGGGAUGACGGCCUUCGGGUUGUAAACCGCUUUCGCCUGUGACGAAGCGUGAGUGACGGUAAUGGGUAAAGAAGCACCGGCUAACUACGUG
Molecule: ribosomal RNA, 468 nt
Filed under: uncultured bacterium
Lineage: Bacteria
Description: partial 16S ribosomal RNA
Rfam family: Bacterial small subunit ribosomal RNA
Source: RNAcentral